Molecule: unclassified non-coding RNA, 335 nt
Filed under: soil metagenome
Description: partial contains 5.8S ribosomal RNA, internal transcribed spacer 2, and large subunit ribosomal RNA
Rfam family: 5.8S ribosomal RNA (bases 1-120)
Source: RNAcentral
GAUGAAGAACGCAGCGAAAUGCGAUAAGUAAUGUGAAUUGCAGAAUUCAGUGAAUCAUCGAAUCUUUGAACGCACAUUGCGCCCGCCAGUAUUCUGGCGGGCAUGCCUGUUCGAGCGUCAUUUCAACCAUCAAGCCCCCGGCUUGUGUUGGGGACCUGCGGCUGCCGCAGGCCCUGAAAACCAGUGGCGGGCUCGCUGUCACACCGAGCGUAGUAGAUUUUCAUCUCGCUCAGGGCGUGCUGCGGGUUCCGGCCGUAAAAAGCCUUAUUUACCCAAGGUUGACCUCGGAUCAGGUAGGAAGACCCGCUGAACUUAAGCAUAUCAAAAGCGGAGGA